AGUGAACGCUGGCGGUAGGCCUAACACAUGCAAGUCGAACGGCAGCACAGUAAGAGCUUGCUCUUACGGGUGGCGAGUGGCGGACGGGUGAGGAAUACAUCGGAAUCUACUUUUUCGUGGGGGAUAACGUAGGUAAACUUACGCUAAUACCGCAUACGACCUACGGGUGAAAGCAGGGGAUCUUCGGACCUUGCGCGAUUGAAUGAGCCGAUGUCGGAUUAGCUAGUUGGCGGGGUAAAGGCCCACCAAGGCGACGAUCCGUAGCUGGUCUGAGAGGAUGAUCAGCCACACUGGAACUUAGACACGGUCCAGACUCCUACGGGAGGCAGCAGUGGGGAAUAUUGGACAAUGGGCGCAAGCCUGAUCCAGCCAUACCGCGUGGGUGAAGAAGGCCUUCGGGUUGUAAAGCCCUUUUGUUGGGAAAGAAAAGCAGCAGGUUAAUACCCCGCUGUUCUGACGGUACCCAAAGAAUAAGCACCGGCUAACUUCGUG
This 492-nucleotide ribosomal RNA is filed under the name uncultured bacterium. RNAcentral describes it as "partial 16S ribosomal RNA". It matches the Rfam family "Bacterial small subunit ribosomal RNA", at positions 29 to 507 of the family's 1533-position model. The record is from RNAcentral.